RNAcentral lists this ribosomal RNA (460 nucleotides) under uncultured bacterium. RNAcentral's name for it is "partial 16S ribosomal RNA". It matches the Rfam family "Bacterial small subunit ribosomal RNA", at positions 338 to 795 of the family's 1533-position model. The record is from RNAcentral.
CCUACGGGAGGCUGCAGUGAGGAAUAUUGGUCAAUGGACGAGAGUCUGAACCAGCCAAGUAGCGUGAAGGAUGACUGCCCUAUGGGUUGUAAACUUCUUUUAUAAAGGAAUAAAAUGAGCCACGUGUGCCUUUUUGCAUGUACUUUAUGAAUAAGGAUCGGCUAACUCCGUUCCAGCAGCCGCGGUAAUACGGAGGAUCCGAGCGUUAUCCGGAUUUAUUGGGUUUAAAGGGAGCGUAGAUGGGUUGUUAAGUCAGUUGUGAAAGUUUGCGGCUCAACCGUAAAAUUGCAAUUGAUACUGGCAGUCUUGAGUACAGUUGAGGUAGGCGGAAUUCGUGGUGUAGCGGUGAAAUGCUUAGAUAUCACGAAGAACCCCGAUUGCGAAGGCAGCUCACUGAACUGUGACUGACACUGAGGCUCGAAAGUGUGGGUAUCAAACAGGAUUAGAUACCCGUGUAGUC